Molecule: ribosomal RNA, 484 nt
Filed under: uncultured bacterium
Lineage: Bacteria
Description: partial 16S ribosomal RNA
Rfam family: Bacterial small subunit ribosomal RNA
Source: RNAcentral
AUUGAACGCUGGCGGCAGGCCUAACACAUGCAAGUCGAGCGGAUGAAGGGAGCUUGCUCCUGUCUUCAGCGGCCGACGGGUGAGUAAUGCCUAGGAAUCUACCUGGUAUUGGGGGAUAACGUCCGUACACGGGCGCUAAUACCGCAUCCGUCCUGAUGGUGAAAGUGGUGGAUCUUCGGACCUCACGCUAUCAGAUGAGCCUAGGUCGGAUUAGCUAGUUGGUUGGGUAAAGGCCUACCAAGGCGACGAUCCGUAACUGGUCUGAGAGGAUGAUCAGUCACACUGGAACUGAGACACGGUCCAGACUCCUACGGGAGGCAGCAGUGGGGAAUAUUGGACAAUGGGCGAAAGCCUGAUCCAGCAAUGCCGCGUGUGUGAAGAAGGUCUUCGGAUUGUAAAGCACUGUAAGUUGGGAGGAAGGGCAGUAAGUUAAUACCUUGCUGUUUUGACGUUACCAACAGAAUAAGCACCGGCUAACUUCGUG